This 447-nucleotide ribosomal RNA is filed under the name uncultured bacterium. RNAcentral describes it as "bacterial SSU rRNA". It matches the Rfam family "Bacterial small subunit ribosomal RNA", at positions 355 to 825 of the family's 1533-position model. The record is from RNAcentral.
UCGGGAAUUUUGGGCAAUGGGCGAAAGCCUGACCCAGCAACGCCGCGUGAAGGAUGAAGUAUUUCGGUAUGUAAACUUCGUAAGAAUAGGAAGAAUAAAUGACGGUACUAUUUAUAAGGUCCGGCUAACUACGUGCCAGCAGCCGCGGUAAUACGUAGGGACCAAGCGUUGUUCGGAUUUACUGGGCGUAAAGGGCGCGUAGGCGGCAAUUCAAGUCAUCUGUGAAAUCUCCGGGCUUAACUCGGAACGGUCAGAUGAUACUGCUUUGCUAGAGUGCAGAAGGGGCAAUCGGAAUUCUUGGUGUAGCGGUGAAAUGCGUAGAUAUCAAGAGGAACACCUGAGGUGAAGACGGGUUGCUGGGCUGACACUGACGCUGAGGCGCGAAAGCUAGGGUAGCGAACGGGAUUAGAUACCCUAGUAGUCCCUGAGCGGGCUGGCAAGGCGCAU